RNAcentral lists this ribosomal RNA (255 nucleotides) under uncultured bacterium. RNAcentral's name for it is "partial 16S ribosomal RNA". It matches the Rfam family "Bacterial small subunit ribosomal RNA", at positions 524 to 776 of the family's 1533-position model. The record is from RNAcentral.
CACGGGGGGAGCAAGCGUUGUUCGGAAUCACUGGGCGUGAAGGGCGUGUAGGCGGUCUGGUAAGUGGGAUGUGAAAGCCCCCGGCUCACCCGGGGAUCUGCAUUCCAAACUGCCAGACUUGAGUAUGGGAGAGGACAGGGGAAUUCCUGGUGUAGCGGUGAAAUGCGUAGAUAUCAGGAGGAACACCGGUGGCGAAAGCGCCUGUCUGGCCCAAUACUGACGCUGGAUGACGCGAAAGCUAGGGGAGCAAACGGG